CUCCACUUGUAGAUUCCAGCGAUCAAGUUGCACAAUUUCCCCUUCUUCUACAUGAGACAGGAUUUUUGACAACGGUUCAUCGGUAUAUCCCUGUGGGUUGAUAUGUCCUCUGUGAGAACUGAGACAAGAUUUCCCUGAGCAUCUGGGAAGAAGAAAAGGUUUGUGAACAUCUAGCAACCUGGUGAGGAACGUGACUCCCAAAGCUGGCAGAAGCAAGCAUUCACUUGACCUUUUCAGAGCCUCCACCCACUUUUCUCCAACUGAAAGCCCCAAAUCAGUUGUGCAUGUUGGGAGAAGAAGAAAAAAAAGAAAUUCACAGGACUUAACAAAUGAUUUCCUAAAUAAAUGCAAAUUGGAAACAACUUCCCAGAUAUGAAGAUGGAGGUGCCAUUCUCAAAAAAUGUGUGGGUCCCACCCAGGACAACCAGAUAUUGACAUCAUACAGUUAACUACAAUCUUUUAGACAAAGGUAAAUCAAUCAUAUAUGGUUCAUUUGCAUCUGACCUCCUACAGUCAAAGAUGCUGUCGUUGUUUUUGCCACAGUCCACAUGCAAGUAACUACACUGCUAAUUUCAUGAAAGAACUGGCCUUAUUUUAGAGCAUAAAUAGAUGCAAGACAAUAGCUUCAAACAAGCUUGGCUCAAAGGAAUUGUACUUUUUAUAUAAUAUAGCAUUUUAAAAAAGAUUUAAUAUGUGCAUUCAACAAAUAUAUUUUAAUUAUAUGUAGCAGAUGGAGAGGAUUGUUCUGUGCUAUUUUUAUUAGCAUACAGGAUAUGGCAUAGCCAGUCACAGACUGUCUCUUUUUAAUCCUUUCUCUUUAGUUUUUAAAAGCUGCCCUACAAAUUGAAUUUAUUCCAAACAUUUGGGAUACGUUCAAAGACACAUUUAAGCAUUCAAGUGACACUGUGCAACAUAUUAUCUGUUCCACUGAAAAAUUUCUGUUUUGGAAAUCAUUAUAAGUGAUCAUCGAAGCAAGUAAGCAAAUAAAAAUCUAAGGAGCAAUUCCAUGCAUGCUGAUUUGGGAGUUAAGAUUCGUUCUUAUUCUAUUCUUUAAUUCUCUGAACACUAUUAAAAUUAGACUUAAUACUGUACAAUUAAUACAUCCAAGUAAAGUGAUGAUGCUUAGUGUCCAAAUAAAAAGAAACCUGGUUGUUACAAAUUUCUUUGUAUGUCAUAAACAAAUGUGUUCUUUCCUUUGGUUCUAACAAGCAGUAAGAAAAAAAGAGGAUUCCAAACAGUUAACCUAAGCAUAGCUCAAAUAUAGUACAUUUACAUGUUUUAAUCACUUCUUAAAUUAAAGACUCCCCGCUUGAUUAACAAGCAAGUAAACAUUAAGAGUAUUUGAACAAGUUCUUAUAAUAUAAAUACUUGGAAAAUUUGCAAUGACUAAAUAUUUUAAACACCUCGACAGUCAUCCUCCAUGGGGUAGGGAGGAAAUAGGGCCCCAUAUGCACAUUUCCUAAAAAUCAAGUAAGUUUCUUGCUUUAGAACUGCUAUUGUUAUUUAUAUGCAACUUUAGUCGAUAGACGAAGACUUAUUCAAC
This is a long non-coding RNA of Crotalus tigris (Tiger rattlesnake), 1543 nucleotides long. RefSeq lists it as uncharacterized. The transcript is spliced from 3 exons. The record is from RefSeq and is a predicted model, not a curated record. Lineage: Eukaryota; Metazoa; Chordata; Lepidosauria; Squamata; Viperidae.